CCAGUCUUAGAGGUGUUGCAGGUGUGGCUGCUGUGUCACUUGUACAUCAGUAGGUGGCAGAGAGGAGAGAGAGGCUAGGUCUGUGUUAUGACCUCUGGAAA
This 101-nucleotide small nucleolar RNA is filed under the name Mus caroli (Ryukyu mouse). RNAcentral's name for it is "predicted gene, 24349 (MGP_CAROLIEiJ_G0035698.1)". It matches the Rfam family "Small nucleolar RNA SNORA17", at positions 1 to 100 of the family's 132-position model. From Rfam's summary of the family: snoRNA ACA 17 belongs to the H/ACA family of snoRNAs and is predicted to guide pseudouridylation of the 28S rRNA at positions U4659 and U4598. It shares the same host gene together with ACA43. The record is from RNAcentral. Lineage: Eukaryota; Metazoa; Chordata; Mammalia; Rodentia; Muridae.